CAGUCAGUGAGGUUAGAGAAAUAAUUUUCCUUGUUGGUGGCUGUGUAUAUCAACCCAGUGAGGAGGCUGAGAUCUGUAAGAAAUGCAGCUUGUCGUAUUUGAGUCCUUGGCACCAGUCAGAGGAGAACUAGGAAUUCUUGGGGAGACCAGCACCGAGAGCCCACAAGGGUGCCCAGGGAGAGGGCAGCGGGGAGUAAUGUCUGCCAAGAACAAUCUCCGUGUUUAUACAGUCUUCUCAUCUGUUGUAAUUCCACCAUGGGUUUUUCCUUGGAAAGAAGUGAUAUGAAUCAUCGUGUGAAUAUUCAAUUAGAAUGAAGGAGUUUACCCAGUCUAAUUCAUCAGCAUUCUGUAUUUAUAUCUCUGCAAUUAUUUAGUUUACUCAGUCGAAGAAGUACACCAUUACUUUUUGUUGCUCUGUCAAUACAGAUGGGAAACAGUUUUGUUGAUAUAUUUAAAUAAGGUAAGCAGCAGAAGAAAUUCAAUUUGGAGGACACUGCCUUAUCCAACAACUGAAUCAGACUUUUGUUAUGUAAUACGACGGAUCUGAUGCUGCUGCUUGCUGUUUUUCUGGAAAUGUGCAAAAAUAGAAUUAAAACAAAAAAGUCCAGGGAACUGUUUCCAGUAUUUGAACACAAAUUCCCUUAAUGUACAGAGCGCUGAAGCUACAUCUGUGGAUUUUUUAACCUUAAGCAAUAAACAAUCUCUGGAUGUGCUAGUCAGGACAAGAACUUGUAGAAGUUGCAAUGUUUGCAUAAACUCUCAUCUUGCAAUGAAUUGCAUGUGCUCAGCUUCAUGCACAUACAAAUGACAGCCAGGUAUUUGCAGGUGGUGGCCAGAUCUCAGGAUCUCAAGACAGAGCUGAAUAGUAUUUGUAAUUGAUUGUAGUAUAUACAGUUAUGUCUCUUCCAAGUGUUGCUAUGAGAGUGCCAGAUUAUUUGAGGAUGUAUAUGAGCCUUUCUUGGGGUUUGUUUGUUUAAUAUAAUGCUUAGACUCUGCAUUCCGCAAAAAAGAUAGCUGCUGAGCGGUAUGCUGUAUGAUUGGGCCAUUUAAGUCAUGUUAGGCCACUUAGAAGAUAAACUGAAGCAUUUUUAAAGGUCUUUCUUGAAGUCUUUGGCCUGAGAAGUUAAUGUGAUGUAUACUGAGAGUGAAUUAGCAAAUAGAUAUUUCAUUUGAUACACCUUAUAAGAGUCUCAAUAAGAACAAUCAAUUAAAUCUCAAAUUGGUCUUGACUUUGGGCUGCAGAAGAGUUUGUCGAGGCUGGCUUUCAGUAGCACUUCAGUCCAUGGUAGUACUCUCUUAAAUUAUUAUGUCCAUAACUUUUAUUAAGUAUAAUGUGAAAUGCACUGAGAAACCAUACCAAACUAAAAUGCCUCUUUCAUAAUAGUAAUGUUUCCAUAGCACCAAAAUCUUUGACUUGAUUCUUUUGUCUGUAUUAAUAUCACCUUGAACAUUAAGAAAUAGAGUAGAUUACCUAUUAAAAAACAGUCCUACAGGAGAAAAUUCAUUAUACAUAUAUAUAAUCUGUGAAAAUUACUGAAGUGCUUAAGUAGAGGUAAAAAUCCAUAGGAGAACAAAAACUGCAAAAUAUUUGAAAGGGUGUUUUUAUAUUACAAGCCUAACAACAAAUGCUAAGUUAGAAUCAACCUAGCCAAGGAAUAAGGGUUAUCUCUCCAUAGUUACUUAGGGGGCUCUACUGAAGGAUAGGAACUGCUUAAUGCGAAGGCUUCUGAAACUCCUACUAAGUCAUUUUUUCUGAGGUUAAUGUAUAUGUACUUGUGGAUAAGAGAAACCAAAAAAAAAAAAAGGACUUUCCAUUUCUAAAUGACGUAUUAGACAUAUUCCAGGCUGCACUUCUAAGCACUUUAAAGAGAAAUUGGGUUGUUUGGAAGGUUUUAAAAAAGUGAAUGCAUACAUUUAUCUUUAGCUGAAUUCUGUCUGCUUAUAAAAGGAAUAAAGAAUAUGAAUGGAGACAACUACUUAUUUUUAAGUGGCAUGAAGACAUUCCUGGCAGAUGAAAUGGCCAUUACAGAUAAUAAGACAGGGCUAGGUAAAAUAUGUUGAGAAGCAUGCUGAUAUCACAAGCUCUCAGUUGGCAGUAUAUUCUGAGAACUUUAAAACUGUUUAUGGAUGGAUAAAAAAUAAAAAUAGGAAAGUAUACAUGAUGGGAAAAGAAAACUCAACCUGCCUUAAAGUCUACAACAGCAGAGAAAGGAUAAAUAUUAGCAGAUACAAAGAAGCCUUUAGGGGGUGAGGCAUUUAAAUGAAACAGUCAUAUGUAGAUCACUGUGUGCUUUUGAUGUUUUUAUCCAAAUCUUUGCAAGGAAGAUCACCACUACAGUAUAACUCAGAAAGUCUAAAGCAAAGCAGAGCAAUGAAUGUAGAGAAUCUGUAAUCAGAGUGCUUGAUCAUUUCAGAAGUAAAAUGUUUCAAAAAUCCCUUAUGGAAAACAAAGCUGCUUGUUUCCUGGAAACCUUUUCUUUUUAAAUGCUUUCAAAUCUAAGGGAGCUUCCAGAAUACAAAAGAAACAAAUACUUUGGAAAAUGGGAAUAUUAGAAACUGAAGCCAUAAACUUGCAAGUACUGUUCCUGUUCAUGGGUAAUUCAGAUAAUUUUAGGUGAUUGUGAUCAGCUCCUAAUAACUGUCCCAGUGAUCCAGACAUGCAAAAAAUGAAGAAAGUGAUUUGAGGAGGUUGACUGGACACCUUUCUGUUGAAAA
Lagopus muta (rock ptarmigan) is the source of this 2715-nucleotide long non-coding RNA. RefSeq lists it as uncharacterized. The transcript is spliced from 3 exons. Lineage: Eukaryota; Metazoa; Chordata; Aves; Galliformes; Phasianidae. The record is from RefSeq and is a predicted model, not a curated record.